RNAcentral lists this long non-coding RNA (293 nucleotides) under Nicotiana benthamiana. RNAcentral describes it as "long non-coding RNA (NBEN_LNC034391)". The record is from RNAcentral. Lineage: Eukaryota; Viridiplantae; Streptophyta; Magnoliopsida; Solanales; Solanaceae.
UCGUCAAUCACACAAUAAUUGAAAUUUCUCAUGACAAGCUCAUCCACGCUCUGCAGAGUAAAAAACAUGAUCACUUGGCCAGUAGUAGGUGGAGAAUCCUAGUAUGACAAGCUCAUCCACGCUCUGCAGAGUGAAAGACAUGAUCACUUGGCCAGUAGUAGGUGGAGAAUCCUAGUAACUUCAGAGCAUAUAGAAUGUAUAAGCAAAACAUAUCAAACUAUAACAAAGUAAAAGAUUUACUUCCCGUGGCAAGAUUAUCUCUCAGGUAAUCAAAACCCAGCUCGCUAUUAGUC